CCUGCCCAUUGAAUUUUAAAAGGCCGCGGUAUUUUGACUGUGCAAAGGUAGCAUAAUAAUUAGUUUUUUAAUUGAAAGCUUGUAUGAAUGGUUGGACAAAGAAAAAACUGUCUUUAAUAUUUUUAUUGAACUUUACUUUUAAGUGAAAAGGCUUAAAUUAAUUUAAGGGACGAUAAGACCCUAUAAAUCUUUACAUUUAUUUGUCUUUUUUAUUUAGAUAAUAAUUAAUUAAAAUACAUAAAAAAAUGUUUCAUUGGGGUGAUGAAGAUAUAAUAAUUUAACUGUCUUUAUUUAUAAACAAAUAUAAUUGAUUUUUAAUCAAGGAUCCUUUAUAAAGAUUAAAAGUUUAAGUUACUUUAGGGAUAACAGCGUAAUUUUUUUUGAGAGUUCAUAUCGAAAAGAGAGUUUGCGACCUCGAUGUUGAAUUAAAAUAUCCUUAUGUUGUAGAAGUUGUAAGGGAAAGUCUGUUCGAC
This 473-nucleotide ribosomal RNA is filed under the name Munidopsis abbreviata. RNAcentral's name for it is "partial 16S ribosomal RNA". It matches the Rfam family "Bacterial large subunit ribosomal RNA", at positions 1858 to 2585 of the family's 2925-position model. Lineage: Eukaryota; Metazoa; Arthropoda; Malacostraca; Decapoda; Munidopsidae. The record is from RNAcentral.